UUAAAUCGCUUACUUGUUGAUGAGCAGCCCAUAAAGCAGGCGAAUUACCAAAGCUCCAUCUCAUAGGGCGAAAUCCAAUCGGAAGUGAACAUUCCCGACCCUUCCACAAAGGGCAGCCCUUAAAUUGGGAACUCUGGAAGACCGUUGUGUGGCGUCCCCUUCUCGAAGUGCACUUCAAGGGCGCAAAAACGCCGAUUGGAGUUCGCCCAUAAACUUUCCGCGAGCCUGAGUGACUCCUGUUAAAGUGUCGUCGGUUGGCCGGAUAUCGCUGAGGGUGACUUCAACCAAGAUCCAAAGGAGCAAAUGCAUUCGAACCAGUGCCAUAAGUUAAGGUGGAGACAGAAGUUUACCAAAAAGAAAAAAACUCAUUGGAUGAAUGAGAAGAACUUCAAAUCACAGCACUUUAGAGAGAAGGAGGACUGGGAUAAGGAGAUUGAGGAGUGUUUACUUACCACAAAAGAACAGAGCCAACCCCCUUAUGAUCCUGGAGAUGAACUGAAUACAACAGAGAUGGUUCAGUGUGACGUCCAAAAUAGCACAAGCUUCAGCCAGGACCACUACACGCCAGUAGUUCACCACAAACGGCCUGUCAAAUGGGUCCGCUGUAUUUACACCGUAGUGGCUGACCAGUUUGCUAAUGCUGAGGAUUAAGGCGGUCCAUUGUACCAUGUUUUAUGUUUUUUUACAAAAAAAAUUCAUUUUAUGUAUUAGUUAAUUCAUUAAUAGAUGUUAUUUUAUAAUUUACUCAGUUCAUGGAAAUGAUCUUUUAAGUAUUUGUUGAGUUUUUAGUGUGCUUUCAUUAUAGGAAAUUAAAUGGAUAUGUUAAGUGUUUCAUUGUUUAGUACCAUCAACUCUUGCCUGAUGCAAAUUUAUGUUUCAGUGUUAAUCUAAGCACAGUUUUGAAUUGGGUUACAGUGUAUCUUUAAAAGAAACUGUAUUAAACAGAGAGAGAAACUGUU
Misgurnus anguillicaudatus (oriental weatherfish) is the source of this 959-nucleotide long non-coding RNA. RefSeq lists it as uncharacterized. The record is from RefSeq and is a predicted model, not a curated record. NCBI's taxonomy places the organism in Eukaryota, Metazoa, Chordata, Actinopteri, Cypriniformes, Cobitidae.